Molecule: transfer RNA, 73 nt
Filed under: Lachnospiraceae bacterium
Lineage: Bacteria; Bacillati; Bacillota; Clostridia; Lachnospirales; Lachnospiraceae
Description: tRNA-Glu
Rfam family: tRNA
About the family: Transfer RNA (tRNA) molecules are approximately 80 nucleotides in length. Their secondary structure includes four short double-helical elements and three loops (D, anti-codon, and T loops).
Source: RNAcentral
GGUCCCCUGGUCUAAAGGUUACGACACCGGCCUUUCAAGCCGGGAAUGCAGGGUUCAAGUCCCGUGGGGAUCA